GGAGUUAGCCGGUGCUUCUUCUGCGAGUAACGUCACAGCUAGCAGGUAUUAACUACUAACCUUUCCUCCUCGCUGAAAGUGCUUUACAACCCGAAGGCCUUCUUCACACACGCGGCAUGGCUGCAUCAGGGUUUCCCCCAUUGUGCAAUAUUCCCCACUGCUGCCUCCCGUAGGAGUCUGGGCCGUGUCUCAGUCCCAGUGUGGCUGAUCAUCCUCUCAGACCAGCUAGGGAUCGUUGCCUAGGUGAGCCAUUACCUCACCUACUAGCUAAUCCCACCUGGGCUUAUCCAUCAGCGCAAAGGACCGAAGUUCCCCUGCUUUCCCCCGUAGGGCGUAUGCGGUAUUAGCAGUCGUUUCCAACUGUUAUCCCCCACAAAUGGGCAAAUUCCCAGGCAUUACUCACCCGUCCGCCGCUCGUCAUCUUCAAAAGCAAGCUUUUGAAAUGUUAACCGCUCGACUUGCAUGUNUUAAGGCCUGCCGCCAAGCGUUCAAUCUGAGCCAUGAUCAAAACUCUGA
RNAcentral lists this ribosomal RNA (516 nucleotides) under uncultured bacterium. RNAcentral's name for it is "partial 16S ribosomal RNA". The record is from RNAcentral.